UACGGGGGGGGCAAGCGUUGUUCGGAAUUACUGGGCGUAAAGGGCGCGUAGGCGGUUCUUUAAGUCAGGCGUGAAAGCCCCGGGCUCAACCUGGGAACGGCGCGCGAGACGGGGGGGCUGGAGUUCGGGAGAGGAGCGUGGAAUUCCCAGUGUAGAGGUGAAAUUCGUAGAUAUUGGGAAGAACACCGGUGGCGAAGGCGGCGCUCUGGACCGAGACUGACGCUGAGGCGCGAAAGCGUGGGGAGCAAACAGG
RNAcentral lists this ribosomal RNA (253 nucleotides) under uncultured bacterium. RNAcentral describes it as "partial 16S ribosomal RNA". It matches the Rfam family "Bacterial small subunit ribosomal RNA", at positions 524 to 776 of the family's 1533-position model. The record is from RNAcentral.